This 306-nucleotide long non-coding RNA is filed under the name Elaeis guineensis (African oil palm). RNAcentral's name for it is "long non-coding RNA (EGUI_LNC039429)". Lineage: Eukaryota; Viridiplantae; Streptophyta; Magnoliopsida; Arecales; Arecaceae. The record is from RNAcentral.
GGAUCUCAAGCUGACUCCAACAAAAAUGAGUCAACUCGCCAAUCACUCGAGUCGACCCAAUUGAGAAUCGAGUCGACUCCACAUGCAUACCAGUCAUAGUUUUAUGUUUUCAUGCAAAUAAAGCCUAGGGUUUUGGAUCAAAGAUUUUACAGAAAUUAAGUUUUAGAUCAUGUGUCAAAAUAAUAUAUCAAAUAUAAUAUUUAACAAUCUAAAAUAUAUAAAAAUACAUGCAUAAUCUGAUUUAAAUCUAAAAUAUGUAACAAUUAUAAUUUUUCGUUCACUAUUCAUCUUCAUAGGAAACAUCAC